This 424-nucleotide ribosomal RNA is filed under the name uncultured cyanobacterium. RNAcentral's name for it is "bacterial SSU rRNA". It matches the Rfam family "Bacterial small subunit ribosomal RNA", at positions 356 to 795 of the family's 1533-position model. The record is from RNAcentral. Lineage: Bacteria; Bacillati; Cyanobacteriota.
GGGGAAUUUUCCGCAAUGGGCGAAAGCCUGACGGAGCAAUCUCGCGUGAGGGAUGACGGCCUAUGGGUUGUAAACCUCUUUUUUCAGGGGGGAAUCAAUGACGUGUACCUGAAGAAUAAGCAUCGGCUAACUCCGUGCCAGCAGCCGCGGUAAGACGGAGGAUGCAAGUGUUAUCCGGAAUCACUGGGCGUAAAGCGUCUGUAGGUGGUUUAAUAAGUCAACUGUUAAAUCUUGAAGCUCAACUUCAAAAUCGCAGUCGAAACUAUUAGACUAGAGUAUAGUAGGGGUAAAGGGAAUUUCCAGUGGAGCGGUGAAAUGCGUAGAGAUUGGAAAGAACACCGAUGGCGAAGGCACUUUACUGGGCUAUUACUAACACUCAGAGACGAAAGCUAGGGUAGCAAAGGGAUUAGAUACCCCAGUAGUC